RNAcentral lists this ribosomal RNA (253 nucleotides) under uncultured bacterium. Its description in RNAcentral is "partial 16S ribosomal RNA". It matches the Rfam family "Bacterial small subunit ribosomal RNA", at positions 524 to 776 of the family's 1533-position model. The record is from RNAcentral.
UACGUAGGUGGCAAGCGUUGUCCGGAUUUACUGGGCGUAAAGGAUGCGUAGGCGGAUUUUUAAGUCAGAUGUGAAAACCCCGAGCUCAACUUGGGGACUGCAUUUGAAACUGGAAGUCUAGAGUGCGGGAGAGGAAAGUGGAAUUCCUAGUGUAGCGGUGAAAUGCGUAGAGAUUAGGAAGAACACCAGUGGCGAAGGCGACUUUCUGGACCGUAACUGACGCUGAGGCAUGAAAGCGUGGGUAGCAAACAGG